This 345-nucleotide unclassified non-coding RNA is filed under the name soil metagenome. RNAcentral's name for it is "partial contains 5.8S ribosomal RNA, internal transcribed spacer 2, and large subunit ribosomal RNA". The stretch from base 1 to 120 matches the Rfam family "5.8S ribosomal RNA", at positions 35 to 154 of the family's 154-position model. The record is from RNAcentral.
GAUGAAGAACGCAGCGAAAUGCGAUACGUAAUGUGAAUUGCAGAAUUCAGUGAAUCAUCGAGUCUUUGAACGCACAUUGCGCCCCCUGGUAUUCCGGGGGGCAUGCCUGUCCGAGCGUCAUUGCUGCCCUCAAGCACGGCUUGUGUGUUGGGCCUCCGUCCUCCUCCCGGGGGACGGGCCCGAAAGGCAGCGGCGGCACCGCGUCCGGUCCUCGAGCGUAUGGGGCUUCGUCACCCGCUCUUGUAGGCCCGGCCGGCGCUUGCCGACACAUCAAUCUUUUUUCCAGGUUGACCUCGGAUCAGGUAGGGAUACCCGCUGAUCUUAAGCAUAUCAAUAAGCGGAGGA